This 471-nucleotide ribosomal RNA is filed under the name uncultured bacterium. RNAcentral describes it as "partial 16S ribosomal RNA". It matches the Rfam family "Bacterial small subunit ribosomal RNA", at positions 328 to 792 of the family's 1533-position model. The record is from RNAcentral.
AUGUCAGACUCCUACGGGAGGCAGCAGUGGGGAAUCUUCCGCAAUGGGCGAAAGCCUGACGGAGCAACGCCGCGUGAUCGAAUGAAGGCCUUCGGGUUGUAAAGAUCUGUUGACAGGGACGAAUAAGCAAUGCGAAUAGUUUUGUGUAUGACAGUACCUGUUUAGAAAGCUCCGGCUAACUACGUGCCAGCAGCCGCGGUAAUACGUAGGGAGCAAGCGUUGUCCGGAAUUACUGGGCGUAAAGGGCGCGUAGGUGGGCGCUUAAGUUAGGUGUGAAAACUCCGGGCUCAACCUGGAGACUGCACUUGAAACUGGGUGUCUUGAGGGCAGGAGAGGAAAGUGGAAUUCCUAGUGUAGCGGUGAAAUGCGUAGAUAUACGGAGGAACACCAGUGGCGAAGGUGGAUUGCUGGACAGUAACUGACGCUGAGGCGCGAAAGCGUGGGGAGCAAACAGGAUUAGAUACCCGAGUA